Small nuclear RNA from Antechinus flavipes (yellow-footed antechinus), 102 nucleotides. The record is from RefSeq and is a predicted model, not a curated record. NCBI's taxonomy places the organism in Eukaryota, Metazoa, Chordata, Mammalia, Dasyuromorphia, Dasyuridae.
GCUUGCUUCGCCAGUACAUAUACUAAAAUUGGAAUGAUACAGAAAAGAUUAGCAUAGCCUCUGCACAAGAAUGACAUGCAAAAUCAUGAAUUCUGUAUUUUA